Molecule: transfer RNA, 85 nt
Organism: Felis catus (domestic cat)
Lineage: Eukaryota; Metazoa; Chordata; Mammalia; Carnivora; Felidae
Rfam family: tRNA
About the family: Transfer RNA (tRNA) molecules are approximately 80 nucleotides in length. Their secondary structure includes four short double-helical elements and three loops (D, anti-codon, and T loops).
Source: Rfam
GCCUGGGUGGCUCAGUCAGUUGAGCAUCGGACUUUGGCUCAGGUCUUGAUCUCAAGGUUUGUGGGUAUGAGCCCCACAUCAGGCU